UACGUAGGGGGCAAGCGUUGUCCGGAUUUAUUGGGCGUAAAGAGCGUGUAGGCGGCUUGGAAGGUCAGCUGUGAAAACUCGAGGCUCAACCUCGAGACGUCGGUUGAAACCACCUGGCUAGAGUCCGGAAGAGGAGUGUGGAAUUCCCGGUGUAGCGGUGAAAUGCGCAGAUAUCGGGAAGAACACCCGUGGCGAAGGCGGCACUCCGGGACGGUACUGACGCUGAGACGCGAAAGCGUGGGGAGCGAACAGG
Molecule: ribosomal RNA, 253 nt
Filed under: uncultured bacterium
Lineage: Bacteria
Description: partial 16S ribosomal RNA
Rfam family: Bacterial small subunit ribosomal RNA
Source: RNAcentral